CCUACGGGAGGCAGCAGUGGGGAAUCUUGCGCAAUGGGCGAAAGCCUGACGCAGCCAUGCCGCGUGGAUGAUGAAGGUCUUAGGAUUGUAAAAUCCUUUCACCGGUGAAGAUAAUGACUGUAGCCGGAGAAGAAGCCCCGGCUAACUUCGUGCCAGCAGCCGCGGUAAUACGAAGGGGGCUAGCGUUGCUCGGAAUUACUGGGCGUAAAGGGAGCGUAGGCGGACAUUUAAGUCAGAGGUGGAAUCCCGGAGCUUAACUUCGGAACUGCCUUUGAUACUGGGUGUCUUGAGUGUGAGAGAGGUAUGUGGAACUCCGAGUGUAGAGGUGAAAUUCGUAGAUAUUCGGAAGAACACCAGUGGCGAAGGCGACAUACUGGCUCAUUACUGACGCUGAGGCUCGAAAGCGUGGGGAGCAAACAGGAUUAGAUACCCUGGUAGUCCACGCCGUAAACGAUGAUUGCUAGUUGUCGGGAAGCUUGCUUCUCGGCGACGCAGCUAACGCAUUAAGCAAUCCGCCGUGGGGAGUCGGUCGCAAGAUUAAAACUCAAAGUUAGUUAGUAGCGGNGAGAGCGCGACGGACGACGACGAGGGAGGAGG
RNAcentral lists this ribosomal RNA (597 nucleotides) under uncultured bacterium. Its description in RNAcentral is "bacterial SSU rRNA". It matches the Rfam family "Bacterial small subunit ribosomal RNA", at positions 338 to 954 of the family's 1533-position model. The record is from RNAcentral.